RNAcentral lists this ribosomal RNA (517 nucleotides) under uncultured bacterium. RNAcentral's name for it is "bacterial SSU rRNA". It matches the Rfam family "Bacterial small subunit ribosomal RNA", at positions 95 to 606 of the family's 1533-position model. The record is from RNAcentral.
GCGGCGGACGGGUGAGUAAUGCCUAGGAAUCUGCCUAGUAGUGGGGGAUAACUUGCCGAAAGGUAAGCUAAUACCGCAUACGUCCUACGGGAGAAAGCAGGGGACUCUUCGGAGCCUUGCGCUAUUAGAUGAGCCAAGGUCGGAUUAGUUAGUUGGUGAGGUAAUGGCUCACCAAGACUGCGAUCCGUAACUGGUCUGAGAGGAUGAUCAGUCACACUGGAACUGAGACACGGUCCAGACUCCUACGGGAGGCAGCAGUGGGGAAUAUUGGACAAUGGGGGAAACCCUGAUCCAGCCAUGCCGCGUGUGUGAAGAAGGUCUUAGGAUUGUAAAGCACUUUAAGUUGGGAGGAAGGGCAGUUAACUAAUACUUGACUGUUUUGACGUUACCGACAGAAUAAGCACCGGCUAACUUCGUGCCAGCAGCCGCGGUAAUACGAAGGGUGCAAGCGUUAAUCGGAAUUACUGGGCGUAAAGCGCGCGUAGGUGGUUCGUUAAGUUAGGAGUGAAAGCCCCGG